This is a long non-coding RNA of Falco peregrinus (peregrine falcon), 1402 nucleotides long. RefSeq lists it as uncharacterized. The transcript is spliced from 3 exons. NCBI's taxonomy places the organism in Eukaryota, Metazoa, Chordata, Aves, Falconiformes, Falconidae. The record is from RefSeq and is a predicted model, not a curated record.
AAUGCCUGCCUGCAGAAAAAUGCACUGAGCCUUUGGGCUAACAGAACAUUCCACUUGCCCAGCCUGAAACCACUGGAUGAAAAUUACUAAAGGGGAUGCACUAUUAUCUACCCAGUGGCACUAGAGACCUAGUAGACCCUGGAUGGGUCAGGAUCAGGAGCAUUGUAUGCCUCUCAGGAGAAGAUCACUCUGGGCUGGGAGGUUACCAUGGCAGGCAGUGGCAAUGCAGCUGGGCUGGCAGGUGACCAGGACAUCGCAGCUGUUUCUGUGCUGCCAUACUGGACAGGCUGGAACUCCAGUGUGAACUCAAGGCAAAGGGACUGUGACCUGUGGAUGAGUCCACAUGGAAGCAGGACACCCCGAAGCAUCCGUGGCCAUGGAUAAGUCCACACCAAAGCAGGUCCACUGUAGAUGAAUUGUAGAGGAAUUAUAGAGGAAUGAAGCUGGGUUAAUUAACAUUGGUAAUAUACAGCUGUGGGCUGGCUUCAGGGGCGGCGGGUUGGCCCAUGUGGAUAAUGUGCAGCUGUGGCUGGUUCUGUUAAGGGGUUACAUAGCUCUAAGGGGUAUGGAAGAGGUGAAGAGAGACUUGGAAGAAGCAGAGGGAGAAGAUAGAGUAUCCUGCAUGCAGGAGAGACAGGGAUAACCCCUGGGGGAAGAAGGGUGCCUGGAUGAGGAGAGGCUGGCUGGAAGAGGAGUCUGGAGAAGAAAGAAUACAGAUGCAGCAGAGGCAAGAAGCAGGGUGGACUGACCUGAAGAGGAUUAAGAAACAGCACGGACAGUAGAUGAACUUCUGAAACCCUGUGGGGGAUUAGUGGUUGUGCCGGGGCAAGGUCUGAGAACUACUAAUUGAAGUUAACCUGGUAUGGGGUGGUAAAAGCCUUGUUGCAGCUGGCUAGUUUUGAGAGUGCUGCGACAGUCCACAUCAGUGUGUUUGUAGCCAGUUACGUCUGUGCCGCAGCAGGUAUACCUCUGAAGGGACUGUGGCCCAAGGAUCAGUCCGCACGGGAGCAAAUACACCUCAAAGCAUCUGUGGCUGUGCGUGAGUCUAUGCUGCAGCAGGUAUACCCCUGGAGAGACUGUGGCUCACAGAUAAGGCUCCACUUGGAGCACAUACAACUCUAAGGGGUUGCAGUCUGUGGAUAAGCCCAAGCUGGAGCAGGGACAAGGGGAGAAGUUCAUUGCAAAGUUAAAUGUGGUGGUCUGGUUCAAAGGGAGAUUGUAAUGGAAAUACCUUUAAAUUGCUGUAACCCAUUAUUUGAGCUACAAUAUUUGACUUGUAGGAACCACCUGAACCAAUAGAGGACAAGUCUUACAAGAAGCAGCGCAAGUGCAGCAGUGACCUGACCUGAGCUGUCUUUGGUGCCCACAUUUACACUGAGCCAAGGCCUUUCCUGCCUCUCAC